GACGAACGCUGGCGGCGUGCUUAACACAUGCAAGUCGAACGGAAAGGCCCUGCUUUUGUGGGGUGCUCGAGUGGCGAACGGGUGAGUAACACGUGAGUAACCUGCCCUUGACUUUGGGAUAACUUCAGGAAACUGGGGCUAAUACCGGGUAGGAGCUCCUGCUGCAUGGUGGGGGUUGGAAAGUUUCGGCGGUUGGGGAUGGACUCGCGGCUUAUCAGCUUGUUGGUGGGGUAGUGGCUUACCAAGGCUUUGACGGGUAGCCGGCCUGAGAGGGUGACCGGCCACAUUGGGACUGAGAUACGGCCCAGACUCCUACGGGAGGCAGCAGUGGGGAAUAUUGCACAAUGGGCGGAAGCCUGAUGCAGCAACGCCGCGUGCGGGAUGACGGCCUUCGGGUUGUAAACCGCUUUCGCCUGUGACGAAGCGUGAGUGACGGUAAUGGGGAAAGAAGCACCGGCUUACUACGU
RNAcentral lists this ribosomal RNA (467 nucleotides) under uncultured bacterium. RNAcentral describes it as "partial 16S ribosomal RNA". It matches the Rfam family "Bacterial small subunit ribosomal RNA", at positions 28 to 506 of the family's 1533-position model. The record is from RNAcentral.